Molecule: non-coding RNA, 31 nt
Filed under: Mus musculus (house mouse)
Lineage: Eukaryota; Metazoa; Chordata; Mammalia; Rodentia; Muridae
Source: RNAcentral
UUCACUUUGCUAUUAUUAAAAUGGAUGACAA